This 225-nucleotide long non-coding RNA is filed under the name Capsicum annuum. RNAcentral describes it as "long non-coding RNA (CANN_LNC017254)". The record is from RNAcentral. Lineage: Eukaryota; Viridiplantae; Streptophyta; Magnoliopsida; Solanales; Solanaceae.
GGAUACCAUUAGGAACACCUAAUCACCAACAUUAAACUCCAACUCCAUUUGCCUCACAUUCGCGUAGGUCUUUUGGUGACUUUGGACAGAUUUAAGCCUAUCCCAAAUCACCUUCACCUUCUCCAUCGCUUAGUGAACCGAAACCGGGCCAAACAUCCUAACUUCACAAACAUCAAACAACACGAUGGGAGACCUACACCUCCUAUCAUUAAUUUCUCAAAAGGA